Long non-coding RNA from Ochotona princeps (American pika), 768 nucleotides. RefSeq lists it as uncharacterized. NCBI's taxonomy places the organism in Eukaryota, Metazoa, Chordata, Mammalia, Lagomorpha, Ochotonidae. The transcript has 2 exons. The record is from RefSeq and is a predicted model, not a curated record.
UAUAUUACCCAGGUUAGCACAUAACAGACCUUAGACCCAUCACCUUCUGCCAUUGGCUUGACUUCAUGUGGAAAAUACACUUACAUUUCCUUGGUUUCAUGUUUUGUCUAAUUUGAAAAAAACCCAGAAUUCACAAGUUGGAGGUAAUCAAAAUCAGUUAUAUUUUGGAGUUCCAUUCCUUAUGUAUUAGUUAUCUAUUUCUAUAUUAUAAACUAAUCAAAAAUUUAGUGGCUUAGAAUAGCAAAAUAUAUUAUCUCCUAGUUUCUUAAAUGGUCUUCAGUGUGGGUGAGGUUUAACACUGGCACACUCACACACUGAUGUCAAGGUGUUGGCCAGGGUUGUGAUUAUCCAAAAGCUCUCACAGGGAAGGAUCUGCCUCUGAACUCACCCAUCUGGUUGCUGGCUGGAUUCACUCCUGCAGGAGACCACUCUCUAUUGCUUGCCAGGAAACAUACCGCAAGGACAGCAAGGAAACCCUCACCACCAGAUGUUGGCCUCAAGUGUGACUUCCCAGUCUCCAAGACUCAGAGCCAAGACAGUUCUCAAUGUGCACAAAACAGAUGAAGGCAUGGACUGUCUUGGAAAUCUACCUACCAACUUAGUCAACAAGUGCAUUCCAAACCCUGUAAAACCAAAACAAACAUGAGAAACAGCUUGGUGCUGACGCUAAGAGAGCCAUGGCUAUCCCUAACCCCCAAUUUCUAGUUCUUACAUUCUGCGAGUUAGUCUCUGUUUUUGUGCUUGAACUCACAAUAAAGUUCAACUUAU